CAGGAAGUAAAUAUUUACGCAUAAUGAGAAGUCGAAACAAAUACACCGCACAAUUCAGAAAAACAACAUAAUAUUUUUUACCAACUGCUGCGCAUGCCUCUAAAAUGUUUUUCCUCUGAUGAUCGGAAGUAUUUUCCUCAGACUAGCUUCUGGUUCUGUACAUUUCAAAUCUGUUUCUGCUGUUUCUCCUCUGUUGCCUAUUCACUUUCAGGACCAGGCAGCAUAAAACACAUUCAGGUCACAAGAUGACCUCUGGAUGUGACAGCUUGAUGUCACAAUGCCGAAGAAGUUGGACAGCGAGUAGGAAGAUUUCUACCAGUCAUUCUCUACACAGAGGUGGCCAGCAAUGAUUUAUCUAUACUCAGAGGUGACUCAGAACCGCAUAAAUAUGUCCCACUGAACCCAAAGCAAAUUGAUCCCGAACUCAACUUCCCCAUAGCCAGAUCCCAGAAAUACCCAUGGCGCCUCCAACCACCUCACAUAAACGGAAACUGGGACACAAGGGAAGUUGGAGUAGAAAGAACUAGCAAUCUUAACUGAUUGUGGAUAAAACAUCUUACCUUCGCAAAUUUCCCAAGAACAUGAAGAGAUGAACACACUGCAGAGGCCCCUCCCUGGGCCUGAGGAGAGGCCCUGAUGCUCAGGAAGCUUUAGCUUCAUGCUGAGUCUGCCUCUGCGUUGAGCUGAGAUUUGAAGAGAAGAUCAGAUUCUUGUGCUUAAAACCUCCCAGGCUGGUCAGGGCCAGGAGACUCCAGGAGUCAUCACAAGAGAUUAAUGAGGUUGAGAGCCAGGGGCAGAGCAGGUUGUGAAGAUCGAAUAAUAACAUACUCGCUCACAGGCAGUGCACCUGACGAUCAGCGUCUACUGGCUGGGAAGACAAGAUUUGGACAUGAAAAGAUGAGAGAUCUACACUGUGACCUGAAUUGGGCAAUGCUCAGUUACACAGUAGAGGAGGUGGGAGGUGCCCAGUCACAAGGAUGAUCCAAGUCAUUCAUGGAAACACCUUCCCCUUUGCCACCCAGGCUCCUGAUUAUAAUGCUAUACUGCUUGGCGGUAAAAGGAAGUCUCUGGACAAGAUGACCUCUGAAGGCCUUUCCAGCUCAACUAUUCUUUGAUUUGCUGUCCCAUUUCUAGCUAUAUGAUGAAUAAACCAGCUUAUCCUCGAGAAGAAAGAAAUAAGGACUGUCUUUAGCCGUCUGAAAAGCUGUCAUAUUGGGCCCCUCCCAGCUCCUCCCAGCCAUUCGGAGCAGUAAGUGAAGAUGUCAGCACCUUGGACAGAGCCCAACGCAUUACAGUACUCGAAGCCAGCGGAAGCCAAGCUCUCCAACUCCUUUAGCCUCGGGGUGAUGGAUUUCCUCGUUUCUCAAUUUGAUUAAAGCCCAGUAGAUAACCAG
RNAcentral lists this long non-coding RNA (1394 nucleotides) under Equus asinus (donkey). RNAcentral describes it as "lncRNA (ENSEASG00005036667.1)". Lineage: Eukaryota; Metazoa; Chordata; Mammalia; Perissodactyla; Equidae. The record is from RNAcentral.